UAGAAAUACUAGUAAUAGUAGGGGCGGAUGUAGCCAAGUGGAUCAAGGCAGUGGAUUU
Molecule: transfer RNA, 58 nt
Filed under: Myrcia obversa
Lineage: Eukaryota; Viridiplantae; Streptophyta; Magnoliopsida; Myrtales; Myrtaceae
Also listed under: 1 other name
Description: Marlierea obversa partial tRNA-His
Source: RNAcentral